GGGACCUGGGACACUGAUGAUGUAUAUAACCCUCUCAUCCAGACCAAAGCUACCAACAGAAAAAUCAGAGAAAGGGCAUCCUAUCAGUGAGACACAUCCCUUCUACAGUGCCACAAGGACAGUUACAUUUGUGAAGCUGAGGAAGCUUAUGGAGGUUUAGAAGUCCACAAACAAACAUAAAUUGACAGAUCUACCUAGAGUGAACAAGUUAUGAAGAAUUGAAAAGACGAAGAAAUGAAAAUAAAGAUUACAAUUCUUCCA
This 261-nucleotide long non-coding RNA is filed under the name Parus major (Great Tit). Its description in RNAcentral is "lncRNA (ENSPMJG00000011552.1)". Lineage: Eukaryota; Metazoa; Chordata; Aves; Passeriformes; Paridae. The record is from RNAcentral.